RNAcentral lists this ribosomal RNA (460 nucleotides) under uncultured bacterium. RNAcentral's name for it is "partial 16S ribosomal RNA". It matches the Rfam family "Bacterial small subunit ribosomal RNA", at positions 338 to 795 of the family's 1533-position model. The record is from RNAcentral.
CCUACGGGUGGCAGCAGUGAGGAAUAUUGGUCAAUGGGCGGGAGCCUGAACCAGCCAAGUCGCGUGAGGGAAGACGGUCCUACGGUUUGUAAACGUCUUUUGUCGGGGAGUAACGGGGUCCUUGCGAGGGUCCGAUGAGAGUACCUGGAGAAAAAGCAUGGGUUAACACCGUGCCAGCAGCCGCGGUAAUCCGGAGGAUGCGAUGGUUUUCCGGAUUGUUUGGGUUUAAGGGGUGGUUAGGCGGGCUGUUAAGUCAGCGGUAAAAUGUCGGGACUCAACCCCGGCCUGCCGUUGAAACUGGCGGCCUCGAGUGGGCGAGAGGUAUGCGGAAUGCGUGGUGUAGCAGUGAAAUGCAUAGAUAUCACGCAGAACUCCGAUUGCGAAGGCAGCAUACCGGCGCCCGACUGACGCUGAGGCACGAAAGCGUGGGUAUCGAACAGGAUUAGAUACCCGAGUAGUC